Molecule: ribosomal RNA, 468 nt
Filed under: uncultured bacterium
Lineage: Bacteria
Description: partial 16S ribosomal RNA
Rfam family: Bacterial small subunit ribosomal RNA
Source: RNAcentral
GACGAACGCUGGCGGCGUGCUUAACACAUGCAAGUCGAACGGAAAGGCCCUGCUUUUGUGGGGUGCUCGAGUGGCGAACGGGUGAGUAACACGUGAGUAACCUGCCCUUGACUUUGGGAUAACUUCAGGAAACUGGGGCUAAUACCGGAUAGGAGCUCCUGCCGCAUGGUGGGGGUUGGAAAGUUUCGGCGGUUGGGGAUGGACUCGCGGCUUAUCAGCUUGUUGGUGGGGUAGUGGCUUACCAAGGCUUUGACGGGUAGCCGGCCUGAGAGGGUGACCGGCCACAUUGGGACUGAGAUACGGCCCAGACGCCUACGGGAGGCAGCAGUGGGGAAUAUUGCACAAUGGGCGGAAGCCUGAUGCAGCAACGCCGCGUGCGGGAUGACGGCCUUCGGGUUGUAAACCGCUUUCGCCUGUGACGAAGCGUGAGUGACGGUAAUGGGUAAAGAAGCACCGGCUAACUACGUG